AGUAUUGUGGUGACAAUAUCUGUAUGCCUGAAGUCUUCUGAAGUCUCAGAGUACACUGAAUUACUUGCUGAUGAAAUAAGACCAGAAGCUGCUGUGGAGUAGCAUGGUUAAUGUACUCCAUGCUAUCAGGGGACUCUGGAACAGAAGAACAAAGACUCAUUGUGGUGCAGCUAAAGAAGGAUGGUUUCAAUCUCUCAACUUGUCAUAAUUAAACAUAUUUACAAGUAUAAGCUUUUACAAUAUAAAUUAGAUUGAUUACAAUCUGCCCUCUGACAUGGGAUUUAAAAUCUAAUUGUUUACAAUACCGUAAAUUACUGCCCUAUUUUAAUCCAUAAUGAAUUGCAGUAUUGUUUCUAAGUGAGUUAUUUGAUAAUCUUUAGCAGAUGAUUUCCCUCCCUGUAUCUUCAGAAGUUAAAAUUCUAAAGCUUUUAAAUUAUAAUGCACAGUUAUGUAGCAUUGUUCACAAUCUUUGUUAGUGCUUAUUUGGUGACUAAUUGAUACAGUUCUCUAUAUAUGGUAUGUAAUUAUCUCAACCAUGUAGCAGGACAAUGCAGACAUCUUAGAAAACACAGAUAAUGUUUUUGCUGUCUCAAUUUGUUAGCAGUGGGUGAUUUCUUUUUUUUCCCACUGUUGUAAAAUAUAACUGUUUUAAUUACUGCAGAGUGAAGUAAUGGUGAGUAGAAAAUCAUGUGUUGCUGUCCCUUGCAAAGUUAGUGCUUUUGAUCUCCCUGACACAUUUCAAAAUUGAGGAUAAGAUGGAAGCUUUGCUUGUCCCAUUCUUGGAAUGGGACAAAACAGCCUUACCACUUCAGAAGGAGCUCAAAAAGAAAUUAUGAUUCAGAGGACUGUCUGAGUCAUAUUUCCCCUGAGCUGUAGCAUUGCACAAGUGGGGAGUAUGCUGUCGGCCCUUUGCCAGAUGAAGCACGUUCCCUCUCUCCUGUCCAGUCAGCUCUGUUUGCUGACACAGGAAGGAGGAAAAUGACGGGUAUGUUUACUUUCAACCCAGUUUCCCCGAGCUUCUUUCCUUGUUCAUGGAAGGAAACAAUGCUUCGUCAAGGCUUGCUUGUUAGUGCUCAUGCUGCUGCUUUCAGGAGGGAUGGUGUGAUAAUACAGUAGAAUGCAAGAGCACCAUGCAACUUCCAUAAGGAGCUUUUUCUUCCAGCUGAUGCUUGGUGUGUUAGGCAUCUGCUUUACUGUUCAUCUGUUGGUGGGACUCUACUCUCUUGCCAGAUCUGAAACUCAUGCUUGUUCCUUGGGCACUCGCUUAUCCAAUAUAAAUUAGAAGCAAAAUCUGUUGCAGUGAAGAGAAUAUAUCAGAAACACUGAUGUGACUUCAAAGUACUGAGUCCCGUUUGAGGCAGAUCUAGCAAGACCAGUAAUCACCAAGUAAAAUAUGAAACAAAACUGAGUUCUUAGUGAUUAUUUUCAAAAAAUGAGUUGUACUGACACACAAGCCAACAGAAAUAACUACUUCCUGUGUGAUGAAUUAAAAAAUGUAGUAAUAACCAAAUCUGAUCAGCUAAUCAAACUCUACAUUGUCUUGUAACAGAUUUAGUCAGCAGAUCUUUUACAUCAGCCGUGGUUUACUUGUAAAUAAUAGAAGUUGAAGUAUUCAUUUGCUACCAUUAGAUCAGCAAUGCAAAGGUCCAUUGUUCUUAAUGGUUAAAGAUGUUAAUCAUUCUUGUGAUCUAAUCAGAAUCAAGCAUUUACAGUUCCUAACUUGCUAGCAACAGCAAUUACAUGUGAUGUCUGCACUGAGUACUAUUUAUUUUCCUCCCCCACUAAUGAAGGAAGAAAAUAUAAAGCAGAUAGGGUAGCAGAUCUUGAAAAUACUCAUUUCAGUGUCAGACGGUUAUACUUCUACAUUUAUAGUGACAUUUUAAGAGCAUUUUACCUGAACCGUAUAUUUAAGGGACAAAUUACACACCUAUCAGUACAAAAGGAAGUACACAAGGAGAUAUCGAUUGGUUGAUUCUAGCAUGUAGGAAUGCUCGGGCAAAUAGCUGCUCACCAACAUGAAUAUAGAUUGUGCAAUCCAGUUUUAAGUGUGGGACUUGGAAUUCCAUCCUGCGUGAUCCUUACACCUACCCUUGUUUCAGAAAGAGCUUUCACAGAUUCACAAGUCAUUUUCACAGAAACAAAACUUUGUUAUAAAAUGCAGUAGAUGAUGAUAAAGCCAGAAAAAAAAAUGUUGCAAUAAACUGUAGCAAUGGAAGACUGUCGCUGAAUAUUUGUUCUGUCUCCUGAAACUCUACUGUAAGGGCUGUCAUGUUACUGCUAAGCUUUUAUGCUUGCCAAGCUUUACUUUUUAUCACUUUGUGUAAAAUGAAAUACAGAGUAAUAAAUUACCCUUAUCAUGAUUAUCACCAUUACAGUGUGCCCAUGUUUAUAUGAACCUUAAAAGUCACUUUGAAGGGUACAAUAAAACUGGUAGAUC
Long non-coding RNA from Gallus gallus (chicken), 2437 nucleotides. The record is from Ensembl. Lineage: Eukaryota; Metazoa; Chordata; Aves; Galliformes; Phasianidae.